CUUGUGUCUUUACCUCUGAAGCUCAAGAAAAUGUGGUAAGCAGAUGAAGAAGUGGAAGAGAAGGCUUCUUGGGAUGUCACAGCAGCCAUUUAACGAGGGUCUAAGAGAUCAUUGAGGACUGAGUGUAUACUAUAGAUUUCCCAGCGGUGGCUAUGGUGUCUCCUCGGCAGAGGUGUGCCUAGAGGUGGCGUGGUCAGCAGCUACGAGUGGGUGGCUGAAGUGCAGAGGCGUGUAUUGUUUCUUGCAGCAGAGGCGUGCUGGGUCAGGUCACACAGCAGAGGCGUGUUGGGAGUUGUAGCUGCAGAAGAGUGGUUUAGUGUUGUUAGCUUAUUUUGGGUGAUGGGUUAGUUCAUUUAGUUAGUUUUGGGUGUUUUUGGUGGGUUGAGUAUGUGGGGAUUCUUGUAUUUUAAGUUCUCUAGUUAAGUUCUUCUUAGCUCUUUUGGUUAAAAAAAAAAAAAAA
This is a non-coding RNA of Camellia sinensis, 460 nucleotides long. NCBI's taxonomy places the organism in Eukaryota, Viridiplantae, Streptophyta, Magnoliopsida, Ericales, Theaceae. The record is from RefSeq and is a predicted model, not a curated record.